Molecule: ribosomal RNA, 631 nt
Filed under: uncultured bacterium
Lineage: Bacteria
Description: bacterial SSU rRNA
Rfam family: Bacterial small subunit ribosomal RNA
Source: RNAcentral
CACGCCGUAANCGAUGAGUGCUAGGUGUUAGGCCCUUUCCGGGGCUUAGUGCCGGAGCUAACGCAAUAAGCACUCCGCCUGGGGAGUACGACCGCAAGGUUGAAACUCAAAGGAAUUGACGGGGGCCCGCACAAGCGGUGGAGCAUGUGGUUUAAUUCGAAGCAACGCGAAGAACCUUACCAGGUCUUGACAUCCCGAUGCUAUUCUUAGAGAUAGGAAGUUACUUCGGUACAUCGGAGACAGGUGGUGCAUGGUUGUCGUCAGCUCGUGUCGUGAGAUGUUGGGUUAAGUCCCGCAACGAGCGCAACCCUUAUUGUUAGUUGCCAUCAUUAAGUUGGGCACUCUAGCGAGACUGCCGGUAAUAAACCGGAGGAAGGUGGGGAUGACGUCAAAUCAUCAUGCCCCUUAUGACCUGGGCUACACACGUGCUACAAUGGUCGGUACAACGAGUUGCGAGCCGGUGACGGCAAGCUAAUCUCUGAAAGCCGAUCUCAGUUCGGAUUGGAGGCUGCAACUCGCCUCCAUGAAGUCGGAAUCGCUAGUAAUCGCGGAUCAGCACGCCGCGGUGAAUACGUUCCCGGGCCUUGUACACACCGCCCGUCACACCACGAGAGUUUGUAACACCCGAAGU